UCCUCUCCUCGCUUACCUCCUAUCUGCAGCAAACUGAAGAGAUGCAGUUCCCUGGUCCUGAAGAGACUUCUGUUCUAUCGGGGGUACAGGGAGGGGACGCCAGUCACAGAGCACGUGACACGGUGCUAAGGAGCAGAGUUGGCCCGGGGGAGGCUGUGCUUUGCUCGCCUCCAGGGCAGUGGAUUGCUGAUCGGCUGCGCAGACUGGCACCAGCCCACACGGACGGCUGCAGCCAGGUGAGGAGAGGCAGCAGGGCCGGGUCGGGAGGGUGUCCUGAGGGCAGCCGGGCGCUCGCUGCCAUCAGGCCCCUCUGGCAGGCCUGGAGGACACUGACAGACGGCACAGCUUGGUUUUGUAGCUCGGUGGGGCAGGAGAGGAGGGUGACUACCGCAGAAGGAGGUCUUGGGGAAGAGUGAUGGUGAUGUGAAAACGGGAUCUAUGGGGAAAAGCAAAGCAGAGGAGGCAGUGAUGUAGCAGCCACUGCAGGGACAGACAGGAGGUCCUCCAGAGAUGGACAGACAGAGCAGGCAGCGAGGAGGGAGCCAGCAGGGCCAGGCCCUGGGGACCAGGCAGCGGGUCAAAGGCAGGUUUCCCCACGACCUGUCAGCCCCAGGGCGGGGGGACUCUGGUCAUCAGGGAAAACAUCUCAAUGUCACGGGGAUGCAUGCGAGCCUGGGGGUGCAGGACGACCUGGGUCCCCCUCCCCUUCGUGUAGGCGCCACCCAUCCGGCUGUGUUUAGGAUCCAGAGUCCAAGGCCACAUGCGUGAUUUUACCAGAGACGGCCGUCCAUGGAAGGGCCCGCCCGAGGCUCUAAGGUCAGAGGGGCCCGGCAGAGCUACCGCUACAUCGAGCAAGCCCAUCUAAAGUUUUUAGAUUAAAAAAAUGUCAUAAAGGACAAAAAGACACGGGGAUCUUGUUGGCCCACGUGGGUGUAAGGGGAGUCACAGGCCCAGAAGGAAUAGCAAGUCAGAGCCUACCUCCCCCAAAAUGACAAAGUCACGAUCGUCUCUCUUCUCAAGUACAUCUCACAUCCCUAACAGGUAUUUAGGAGUUUUUCCUCCCAAAGUCGUUUCUUGUUCUAACGAAGAUCAGGGGAAAACCCCAGGGAAGGCCCAGAGCUAGACACUUCCGUCUAAUAGACGGAGGACAGAAUCUUUGCGGCUGGCCAGAGGCACUCCUCUGGGUCUCCAGUACCUGGCUGUCUUCGACUGCCUUAACCAUCAGCCUGAGGGAGGGCUU
RNAcentral lists this long non-coding RNA (1240 nucleotides) under Canis lupus familiaris (dog). Its description in RNAcentral is "lncRNA (ENSCAFG00000050526.1, ENSCAFG00845016228.1)". The record is from RNAcentral. Lineage: Eukaryota; Metazoa; Chordata; Mammalia; Carnivora; Canidae.